GUGAGGAAUUUUGCGCAAUGGCCGCAAGGCUGACGCAGCAACGCCGCGUGGGUGAUGAAGGCCUUCGGGUCGUAAAGCCCUGUCAGGUGGGAAGAAAGGCCUGGAGAGGAAAGGUUUCAGGUUUGACGGUACCACCAGAGGAAGCACCGGCUAACUCCGUGCCAGCAGCCGCGGUAAUACGGAGGGUGCGAGCGUUAUUCGGAAUUACUGGGCGUAAAGCGCGUGUAGGCGGGGGGACAAGUCUGAUGUGAAAGCCCUGGGCUUAACCUGGGAAGCGCAUUGGAAACUGUUUUGCUUGAGUACUGGAGAGGAAGGGGGAAUUCCCGGUGUAGAGGUGAAAUUCGUAGAGAUCGGGAGGAAUACCAGUGGCGUAGGCGCCCUUCUGGACGGUAACUGACGCUGAGACGCGAAAGCGUGGGGAGCAAACAGGAUUAGAAACCCCAGUAGUCC
Molecule: ribosomal RNA, 450 nt
Filed under: uncultured bacterium
Lineage: Bacteria
Description: partial 16S ribosomal RNA
Rfam family: Bacterial small subunit ribosomal RNA
Source: RNAcentral